CAUAUUACAAAAGCCGAUCGGUUGCUCUGUGGACACGACUAGACAAAAAUAUCUGCAUAACUCGACAAUCCCAUAAUUUUACACCUUCACACACAUAUUCUAAUGUGUAAUGCAUACGAUAGUUUAACGUGUGUAAAAUUAUAAUUUGAACUCUUUGUACGUUAACCUUAACCCUUUCAAGCCCUAAAUGUCCCUUGUCACAGCGGGGUCGCGUAGAUUUUGAGAAACAGAAAAUAUCAGGGUCAAAGUAUUCGAGAAUAUUAAGGAUUUCUUCUAUUAAUAAAAAAGACCCUUGUGUUCCGCAUUCCUCUCGAGGUUGACUUUGAUCUUAAAAAAAACCCAGUUUAUGUUUUACCAUUCAAAGUGAGAGGAAGUCAAAUAAAAUUUCAACACGACUAGAUUUUUUUCUACAUAUUUUUCAACAAGUUCAAAACUAAGGAAGUACUUUUUAAAGUCCUAAACAAUGGCUGAAUGUGCAAUUCAAAAAUAUCCAUUUGUUGUAAUUCUGGGUGUUCUGGUAUUUGCCCUCUACUGUCGAACUGCUGUAUCACAAGGUGAAGGCCAACCAUGCAAACUUCUCGGGGUUGAUUUGCCUGUAACGAUUUGUGCUACAAAUUGCGACUUUUUACCUGGGAUUCCUGGCUUAGGGGGGAUAUGCUCAGCUGGACUGAAAUGUUGCGUUCAUCCAGCUGAAAAAGCACGUGUCGCGAAUACUAAUCAGUGGCAGAUAUGUACAUACUUAACCCAUCUGUUGACAGAUUACGUUUUGUUUACAUUUUUGAUUUUAUGAAUUAAUGAUGAAAAUAGAAUUGACAAGGGACAAAUAUUUAUCU
This is a long non-coding RNA of Folsomia candida, 833 nucleotides long. RefSeq lists it as uncharacterized. The transcript has 3 exons. Lineage: Eukaryota; Metazoa; Arthropoda; Collembola; Entomobryomorpha; Isotomidae. The record is from RefSeq and is a predicted model, not a curated record.